Molecule: ribosomal RNA, 261 nt
Filed under: uncultured archaeon
Lineage: Archaea
Description: partial 16S ribosomal RNA
Rfam family: Archaeal small subunit ribosomal RNA
Source: RNAcentral
AGGGUGUAAACGCUGCAGACUUGGUGUUGGAAGCCCUUUGGGGGCAUUCAGUGCCGGAGAGAAGUUGUUAAGUCCACCGCCUGGGAAGUACGGUCGCAAGACUGAAACUUAAGGGAAUUGGCGGGGGAGCACCACAACGCGUGGAGCCUGCGGUUUAAUUGGAUUCAACGCCGGACAUCUCACUAGGGGCGACAGCAGAAUGAUGGCCAGGUUGAUGACCUUGCUUGACAAGCUGAGAGGAGGUGCAUGGCGUGUGACUGU